This 987-nucleotide ribosomal RNA is filed under the name human gut metagenome. RNAcentral describes it as "bacterial LSU rRNA". It matches the Rfam family "Bacterial large subunit ribosomal RNA", at positions 1934 to 2925 of the family's 2925-position model. The record is from RNAcentral.
CCGUAACUAUAACGGUCCUAAGGUAGCGAAAUUCCUUGUCGGGUAAGUUCCGACCCGCACGAAAGGCGUAAUGAUUUGAGCGCUGUCUCGACAAUGCAUCCGGUGAAAUUGAAGUACCAGUGAAGAUGCUGGUUACCUGCGCCAGGACGGAAAGACCCCAUGGAGCUUUACUCCAGUCUGGUACUGGGACUCGGUAUUGCAUGUACAGGAUAGGUGGGAGGCUAGGAGAUGGUAACGCCAGUUGCCAUGGAGCCGCUGUUGGGAUACCACCCUUGCAGUAUUGGGUUUCUAACCAGCCGCCGUGACCCGGCGGUGGGACAAUGCCAGACGGGGAGUUUGACUGGGGCGGUCGCCUCCGAAAGGGUAUCGGAGGCGCUCAAAGGUUCCCUCAGAAUGGUCGGAAACCAUUCGAAGAGUGCAAAGGCAGAAGGGAGCUUGACUGCGACACCGACGGGUGGAGCAGGUACGAAAGUAGGACUUAGUGAUCCGGUGGUAUAAAGUGGGAUUGCCAUCGCUCAACGGAUAAAAGCUACCCUGGGGAUAACAGGCUUAUCACUCCCAAGAGUUCACAUCGACGGAGUGGUUUGGCACCUCGAUGUCGGCUCAUCGCAUCCUGGGGCUGUAGUAGGUCCCAAGGGUUGGGCUGUUCGCCCAUUAAAGCGGUACGCGAGCUGGGUUCAGAACGUCGUGAGACAGUUCGGUCCCUAUCUGUCGUGGGCGAAGGAUAUUUGAAAGGAGCUGUCCCUAGUACGAGAGGACCGGGAUGGACGCACCUCUGGUGCACCAGUUGUCACGCCAGUGGCACAGCUGGGCAGCUAAGUGCGGAUCGGAUAAACGCUGAAAGCAUCUAAGCGUGAAGCCGUCCUUAAGAUAAGAUAUCCCACUUUUAAGUUAAGACCCCUUGUAGACUACGAGGUUGAUAGGUCUAAGGUGUAAGUUGUGUGAGCAAUUUAGCCAGCAGAUACUAAUCGGUCGAGGGCUUAAACC